UGGGGAAUCUUGGACAAUGGGGGCAACCCUGAUCCAGCCAUGCCGCGUGGACGAUGAAGGCCCUAGGGUUGUAAAGUCCUUUCACCGGUGAAGAUAAUGACGGUAGCCGGAGAAGAAGCCCCGGCUAACUCCGUGCCAGCAGCCGCGGUAAUACGGAGGGGGCUAGCGUUGUUCGGAAUUACUGGGCGUAAAGCGCGCGUAGGCGGAUUGUUAAGUCGGGGGGUGAAAUCCCGGGGCUCAACCCCGGAACUGCCUUUCGAUACUGGCAAUCUAGAGAUCUGGAGAGGCGAGUGGAAUUCCGAGUGUAGAGGUGAAAUUCGUAGAUAUUUGGAGGAACACCAGUGGCGAAGGCGGCUCACUGGCUCGAUACUGACGCUGAGGUGCGAAAGUGUGGGG
This 396-nucleotide ribosomal RNA is filed under the name uncultured bacterium. RNAcentral describes it as "bacterial SSU rRNA". It matches the Rfam family "Bacterial small subunit ribosomal RNA", at positions 355 to 766 of the family's 1533-position model. The record is from RNAcentral.